UACAGAGGGUGCAAGCGUUGUUCGGAAUUAUUGGGCGUAAAGCGCGUGUAGGCGGCUUUGCAAGUCAGAUGUGAAAGCCCUCGGCUUAACCGAGGAAGUGCGUCUGAAACUGCAGAGCUUGAGUGUCGGAGAGGAUGGCGGAAUUCCGCAAGUAGAGGUGAAAUUCGUAGAUAUGCGGAGGAACACCGGUGGCGAAGGCGGCCAUCUGGACGACUACUGACGCUGAGACGCGAAAGCGUGGGGAGCAAACAGG
RNAcentral lists this non-coding RNA (253 nucleotides) under uncultured bacterium. Its description in RNAcentral is "partial 16S ribosomal RNA". It matches the Rfam family "Bacterial small subunit ribosomal RNA", at positions 524 to 776 of the family's 1533-position model. The record is from RNAcentral. RNAcentral also lists the same sequence under 1 other name.